This 1766-nucleotide long non-coding RNA is filed under the name Physcomitrium patens. RNAcentral's name for it is "long non-coding RNA (PPAT_LNC002513)". The record is from RNAcentral. Lineage: Eukaryota; Viridiplantae; Streptophyta; Bryopsida; Funariales; Funariaceae.
AAGAUUUGGUUGCUUAAACGUGUAUGUGCUAGGAAGCGAGAAAAGCAGGGAUGGGUGACGACGAGACCCACCACUGCUACUGCAGCUGUCAACACACAGUUUUCCAAUAAGAUCCAGCAUCGAAGUGCAUUUUAGACCAGGAUAUGGAUCAUGGUCCAGCUGGGACGAAGCUAAGCUGGAACGUUCUGACGUCGAAGUUUUUUUUUUUUUUUUUUUUUUUUGAUACAAAUAAGGGGGAAGCCUUUAUUGCCAUAGCAAUCAUACAAUACAACCUAACCAGCCGUAAACGGCCUGGGUGGGGACGACUGGCAUCGUAAGAACUUAGUACCAAAGUAAAAAUAUCCUAAAGGACCCACGUCCAGACCAGGGGAGGCCGAAGACGUUCGCGCAUCCAGCCGGGAACCAUCAGCCCAGCUCCUUACAUCACCUGCGGUGGCUGGAAGACAAAUCCCGCCAUAGGUCCCGACAAGACCCACUGUGGGUUAUCAUUCACAAUGGACGCGAACACCCCUUGACAACACCAUCUCUGAACAAAACGGCGCGCGUUUCGCGCUAGUAACCCGCCGUGCUUUCCAAUGUUUGCACACUAAAGCCCAUCCAACCCCCCCAUACUCAAGGAUGCCAAGCCACACAGACUGCAGCAGCUUAGCCGAAUUCCACCGCACCUCGUUGAAAACAGCAUCAUUCCGUUCCAACCAUAGCGUCUACAGAAUUACUGUCCUGAUUUGUGACCAUACAAGACUGAACGAAGAGAAUUUGCGAAAGAGUUUCUCCGAGAAGAGCCCCUGACGCCAAGAGGGGUUGCCACGGCCCGCGUGCUCCCCUGCCGCUCACCAACACGUUCAUAAUAUAGGUGCCCCACUGCCAGGCAUGUUGGGCAGAGGGUUAUUGAAGAAUCGACUCCUCCAACCGUCGUGGGCAAACUGGGCAGCAGAGUGAGAGAGAGAGUGGUCGACCCUUCCCCUCCAAGCGUUCACCACAAUGGCUCUGCCAAAGUAGCCAGAGGAGCCCCGACUCUUAACUGGCUCUUUGCGUCACCCACACUGUUUUCCACCUUAGUCGGUACGUAUUCGCGAGAAUUCCCGGCCACUUCGCAACAGCAGGCUUGGGUAUAACAUGCUUCUUCCUGAGCAGUUCCCGACCAAGCUUCGUUGAGUAUUGCAUGAUCGGGGCUGCCUCGGUCAGGGAACCCCACUGAAACUUGCUGGGAUCCCACGACAGAUCGACGAUUUUGCCAUAAUAGAGGAGAACCGACUUCUUUUUUGGACCCCUCCAUAGUUGUACAACUUCAACCCGAUGAUGAAGACCAACUAUUCUGUGACUAGAUUCGGAGACUUCCUGCUGCAACCACCGAGAAGAAGGGAAAACCGAGUACCGAGGUGUGGCAUGGGGAAGUAAAGUCACCGAGGACGAACCCACACACACAUACUGUGUGCCUUCCGCAACCGGGAAGGCCUCCUCGUUUGAUUGGUAAUCUCCAACCCAUUCACCGCUUCUUGCCGGGGGAGGGUUAUGCGCAAGGAGUGAUCCCCAGUGACUAGUGAGAUGGGAAACUGCAGCGGCCCAGGCAUCGGCUUCCUCUUGUCUGAGCCCAAACAGGACAGUUGCUUCUUGAGGAUUAAGAAACCUGGUAUUGUUUCACGCGUCACUGACCCGUCGCAGGCCUGCUCUGUGUAGCUGCAAGGUAAGUAGUUUUGAAAAGCCAGGACCAAUAAAAGGGCAUGAAGGUGAACCACAGGGACUCACUUAACACUUCUUCAGUUACU